UACGUAGGGGGCUAGCGUUAUCCGGAAUUAUUGGGCGUAAAGGGUGUGUAGGUGGUCCGAUUAGUCUUGUGUUAAAACCAGGAGCUCAACUUCUGAUCUGCACAGGAAACGGUCGGACUAGAGUGCGCAAGAGGUUUGCGGAACUCAUGGUGUAGGGGUAAAAUCCGUUGAUAUCAUGGGGAACACCGAAAGCGAAGGCAGCAAACUGGUGCGCCACUGACACUGAAACACGAAAGCGUGGGUAGCGAAUGGG
Molecule: ribosomal RNA, 253 nt
Filed under: uncultured bacterium
Lineage: Bacteria
Description: partial 16S ribosomal RNA
Rfam family: Bacterial small subunit ribosomal RNA
Source: RNAcentral